GAUUCUGGGCGUAAGCGUGCGUAGGUGGUUCGUUAAGUCAGAUGUGAAAGCCCUGGGCUCAACCUGGGAACUGCAUUUGAAACUGGCGGACUAGAGUUUAGUAGAGGGGAGUGGAAUUUCAGGUGUAGCGGUGAAAUGCGUAGAUAUCUGAAGGAACACCAGUGGCGAAGGCGACUCCCUGGACUAAAACUGACGCUGAGGUACGAAAGCGUGGGUAGCAAACAGGAUUAGAUACCCUGGUAGUCCACGCUGUAAACGAUGUCAACUAGCCGUUGGUCCUAUUUACAGGAUUAGUGGCGCAGCUAACGCAUUAAGUUGACCGCCUGGGGAGUACGGCCGCAAGGUUAAAACUCAAAUGAAUUGACGGGGGCCCGCACAAGCGGUGGAGCAUGUGGUUUAAUUCGAUGCAACGCGAAGAACCUUACCUACCCUUGACAUCCAUAGAAUC
Molecule: ribosomal RNA, 448 nt
Filed under: uncultured Gammaproteobacteria bacterium
Lineage: Bacteria; Pseudomonadati; Pseudomonadota; Gammaproteobacteria
Description: bacterial SSU rRNA
Rfam family: Bacterial small subunit ribosomal RNA
Source: RNAcentral